GACCCAGCAGACCUCUCACACACACAGCAGAGAGGAAGAUGGCUGCAGGACUUCUGUGUUGUUACAGGAUCAAACACCUGGUCUGUUUUUCAGCAGAGCUCGAGUCUCUGCAGCAGGACGGCACGCUGUGUAGGAGCUGAUGGAUGCACCACAGUCCUGCCAAACACACUGCUAAAUGUUCGUCCUCCUGCUGCUGCUGUUUGUAAGAGUCCAGCUCACAACCCUGACCCAGUUUCUAGGUUUCCAUGCCAGAGUAAACACGGCUGCUAAGCAACAGCUGAGCAGGAGCCUCGUGGGUGGAUCAUGUUUGGAGGCCUUCCCAACAUCUAAACAAGAUAAUGCAGCAGUGCUGCCCGAGGUCAUUCCCAGGUGAAACAGUCUUCUUAUCAUCCAGGAGGAAGGAGGAACCACAGAAGGAGAGAAUCUCACAUUGAAGCUGAACCUGUGACCAGACUGGACUCUCACAGACAAAUUCAUGUUGUCGUUUACAGCUGUCUGCCAGCAGUAACACACACUGUGAUGAGACUAUGAACCUCUUUCUGGUGUUGAUCUGUGUGCGUCCACAUGUUCUCCACUGUGUACAGUGUGUAAAUGUUGUGAGUGUAACCCUCCACCUGCAGUAAAGACUGCAGCUGCUGUAGCAGAGACAUCCUGUUUCCACUGAGUUUAGCUCUGAGUUACAUGUUGCUGGUGGACAGAUUUGGCAUCAGGAUCACAGCUGAAGAGUCCACAUUACUGUGGCCUUCUAAAGUAUGAAGCUGAGUACUUGCAGUC
Oreochromis aureus is the source of this 774-nucleotide long non-coding RNA. The record is from Ensembl. NCBI's taxonomy places the organism in Eukaryota, Metazoa, Chordata, Actinopteri, Cichliformes, Cichlidae.